This is a long non-coding RNA of Triplophysa rosa, 966 nucleotides long. RefSeq lists it as uncharacterized. Lineage: Eukaryota; Metazoa; Chordata; Actinopteri; Cypriniformes; Nemacheilidae. The record is from RefSeq and is a predicted model, not a curated record. The transcript has 4 exons.
UGGCGCUACUUCCUGCGGCAGUCUGGGAUUUUAUAAUACGAAAUAAUGCUAUCUUUCGUUUUACUAAUAGACGAUUUCACGUUUGUAAAUGAUGUCUAGGGUAAAUAAAUUAAAUCCAGGCCAACCCUAAGUUCGCCAGGAAUGUCUAAUAUAAGGAGCUGAUUUUCGUCAUCAAAAUAGCCGUAUAACGCUCGUAUUGGUUAGUUAUAAAAAUUGUUAAUAAAAACCAUAAUACCUUUCCUCAUUCAUUUAUUUAAAGAGAUCAAUUCAUAAUUUUAGGAUGUUUGAUACUACCCUACCCAAAAAUGGUUCAAAUUUAAAUAAACAAUUACAUCUUGGUAUUGUAAGUCACUCUUAACAUAUUUUUCUUUAAUUCAUAAUAUUGAUUAAAUCUCCUUAACAUGUCCUACUUAUAAGAGCCCAAACAAAUGAGCUCAACAGUUCUCUAUGCAGUAGCAUACGCAUACAUAACUGUAACAGAGAAAUAGUUUGUUUUGAUAGAUUUAUAUGAAUUUUGUAACAUGGCAUUGAUCUUAUGGCUUUCUUUAUCAACACAGUCUGAUUAGCAUAUGUAUCCAGGUCUUCAGAUACUUAAAAAUGGAUAAAAAAAAGACAUGCUUCACCAGAAAUGAAUGUGUCCAGGUCCUCUGCACAUUCAAAUAGGAAGGCAUCUCUUGCUUCUAAAUCGCCCCGCAGGUAUUCUUCGAACAGUCUUUGUUGGUUUUCGUCAUCCAUCUGGAGAUAGGCAGGUUCCAUCUCCUCCCCACAGAAAAAUGCACGACCACAUGGUGCCUAGGGGUGACUCUUUUGUGGUGGUAGACUCUGACACACUGGAGACAGACUCAAGGGUUAGGUGACAUGCUUUCCAAAAUCAAACGAAACCACCACCUGCGGAGCUGAAGGAUGUCUACCUAACAGAUAAAACACAAAGCUAAGAAUGCAGUUGAAAAACUUAUUGGAAAAAAG